Molecule: long non-coding RNA, 206 nt
Organism: Austrofundulus limnaeus
Lineage: Eukaryota; Metazoa; Chordata; Actinopteri; Cyprinodontiformes; Rivulidae
Exons: 3
Source: RefSeq, a predicted model, not a curated record
UUCAGUUUUCACUAAAAACAAAACAAAACAUCAAAUUAUAUCUACGAAUUAUGAUUCACUGUGGUGCUUAUAAAAAAACUCUACAAGCAAGAGCACAUUUAUUAGCCAGAGGAGUAAGUGAGUUCAGUUUUCACUGAAAAUCUGCUUUAUUUCCAUAUUACCUGCUGAUGUCUUCAUACAAACUGUUUUUUCUGUGUUCUUGGUUU